Molecule: ribosomal RNA, 417 nt
Filed under: uncultured Methanosaeta sp.
Lineage: Archaea; Methanobacteriati; Methanobacteriota; Methanomicrobia; Methanotrichales; Methanotrichaceae
Description: bacterial SSU rRNA
Rfam family: Archaeal small subunit ribosomal RNA
Source: RNAcentral
GUGCAGCAGGCGCGAAAACUUUACAAUGCCGGCAACGGCGAUAAGGGGACCUCGAGUGCCAGGUUACAAAUCUCGCUGUCGUGAUGCCUAAAAAGCAUUGCAUAGCAAGGGCCGGGCAAGACCGGUGCCAGCCGCCGCGGUAACACCGGCGGCUCGAGUGGUAACCGUUAUUAUUGGGUCUAAAGGGUCUGUAGCCGGCCGGAUAAGUCUCUUGAGAAAUCCAGCAGCUCAACUGUUGGGCUUUCAGGAGAUACUGUUCGGCUCGAGGCCGGGAGAGGUGAGAGGUACUUCAGGGGUAGGGGUGAAAUCUUGUAAUCCUUGAAGGACCACCAGUGGCGAAGGCGUCUCACCAGAACGGACCUGACGGCAAGGGACGAAAGCUAGGGGCACGAACCGGAUUAGAUACCCGGGUAGUCC